RNAcentral lists this ribosomal RNA (460 nucleotides) under uncultured bacterium. Its description in RNAcentral is "partial 16S ribosomal RNA". It matches the Rfam family "Bacterial small subunit ribosomal RNA", at positions 28 to 507 of the family's 1533-position model. The record is from RNAcentral.
GACGAACGCUGGCGGCGUGCUUAACACAUGCAAGUCGAGCGGUAAGGCCUCUUCGGGGGUACACGAGCGGCGAACGGGUGAGUAACACGUGGGUGACCUGCCCUCAGCUCUGGGAUAAGCCUGGGAAACUGGGUCUAAUACCGGAUAUGACCUUUCCUCGCAUGGGGUUUGGUGGAAAGUUUUUUCGGCUGGGGAUGGGCCCGCGGCCUAUCAGCUUGUUGGUGGGGUGAUGGCCUACCAAGGCGACGACGGGUAGCCGGCCUGAGAGGGCGACCGGCCACACUGGGACUGAGACACGGCCCAGACUCCUACGGGAGGCAGCAGUGGGGAAUAUUGCGCAAUGGGCGGAAGCCUGACGCUGCGACGCCGCGUGGGGGAUGACGGCCUUCGGGUUGUAAACCUCUUUCGACCCCGACGAAUUUGGACGGUAGGGGUAGAAGAAGCACCGGCCAACUACGUG